UACAGAGGGUGCAAGCGUUAAUCGGAGUUACUGGGCGUAAAGGGCGCGUAGGCGGUUGAUUAAGUUAGAUGUGAAAGCCCUGGGCUUAACCUAGGAACUGCAUCUGAUACUGAUUGACUAGAGUAUUGUAGAGGGUAGUGGAAUUUCCGGUGUAGCGGUGAAAUGCGUAGAGAUCGGAAGGAACACCAGUGGCGAAGGCGGCUACCUGGACAAAUACUGACGCUGAGGCGCGAAAGCGUGGGGAGCAAACAGG
This 253-nucleotide ribosomal RNA is filed under the name uncultured bacterium. RNAcentral's name for it is "partial 16S ribosomal RNA". It matches the Rfam family "Bacterial small subunit ribosomal RNA", at positions 524 to 776 of the family's 1533-position model. The record is from RNAcentral.